Non-coding RNA from Cordylochernes scorpioides, 71 nucleotides. The record is from the annotation of a GenBank genome assembly. NCBI's taxonomy places the organism in Eukaryota, Metazoa, Arthropoda, Arachnida, Pseudoscorpiones, Chernetidae.
UGCAUCAGCCGGGAAUUGAACCCGGGCAGCACCCAUGGCAGGCAAGCAUUCUACCACUGAACCACCGAUGC